GACGAACGCUGGCGGCGUGCUUAACACAUGCAAGUCGAACGGAAAGGCCCUGCUUUUGUGGGGUGCUCGAGUGGCGAACGGGUGAGUAACACGUGAGUAACCUGCCCUUGACUUUGGGAUAACUUCAGGAAACUGGGGCUAAUACCGGAUAGGAGCUCCUGCUGCAUGGUGGGGGUUGGAAAGUUUCGGCGGUUGGGGAUGGACUCGCGGCUUAUCAGCUUGUUGGUGGGGUAGUGGCUUACCAAGGCUUUGACGGGUAGCCGGCCUGAGAGGGUGGCCGGCCACAUUGGGACUGCGAUACGGCCCAGACUCCUACGGGAGGCAGCAGUGGGGAAUAUUGCACAAUGGGCGGAAGCCUGAUGCAGCAACGCCGCGUGCGGGAUGCCGGCCUUCGGGUUGUAAACCGCUUUCGCCUGUGACGAAGCGUGAGUGACGGUAAUGGGUAAAGAAGCACCGGCUAACUACGUG
RNAcentral lists this ribosomal RNA (468 nucleotides) under uncultured bacterium. RNAcentral describes it as "partial 16S ribosomal RNA". It matches the Rfam family "Bacterial small subunit ribosomal RNA", at positions 28 to 507 of the family's 1533-position model. The record is from RNAcentral.